Cyprinus carpio (common carp) is the source of this 1319-nucleotide long non-coding RNA. RefSeq lists it as uncharacterized. The transcript has 3 exons. The record is from RefSeq and is a predicted model, not a curated record. NCBI's taxonomy places the organism in Eukaryota, Metazoa, Chordata, Actinopteri, Cypriniformes, Cyprinidae.
GGGUCAGGUAGUCCGGUUCUCAUUGUCUCGUGCUUCUCUUGAAUCGAAAACAUCAAUUUGUAUUCAUCUCAUAUUUGUAUAUUACAUGCUUCGUUUCAGUUUUAGGAGAACAGUGUAUACAUAAUUGGCAAAUUGAUUUUGCCACAAAGCUUUAAAGAUUCUCAGGCUAAUUUCUACAGGUGUGUCAGAUGUGAUUUAAAGUCUCGAGCAGUUUUUAGCUCCCACCAGCUCCACAAAACAGCUUCAAGCAGCAGGCAGUCGAACGCUUCAAGAAACCGCUGUUCACGUACGGAAGUGAUCCGUACAAUCUGAAGGUGGAGCUCAAUAAGUUCUUCGAGGAAGUCAGGAGCUGGUGGAGAAUCAUCCGCCAGCAGAGAGUGGUGGUCCAUGAUCCAGUCUUUAAGUUCAGACCCAUCCGCUGCGGAAAACCUUGGCAGCGUAACUCCAAACUGUACAUUUUUAUCUUUGGUUUAAUUUUAAAGCUGUGUCACUGAGCUCAUCUAAAAGUUUUUUUAGGGGAAGCAGCUUGCUCCAGUCUUCAAGGCGGUCUCACCUAUGAGGACAUACAGGUGGGAUUUUAAACAUUGUUGUUAUGCAGCACAUUUUAAACUAUAAUGAAUGAAUGCAUGAAUAAUUUUAAUUUUAAACUGAUUUCUGUAAUUUGAUCAGCCAGCAUGAGUAAUUAAUCAUAUCCACUGAGGAUGCUUACUGACAUUUGUGCUGCUGUUUUCCCUCCAAAAUGAUGUCACUUACUGUAGGGUGAUGAUGUCAUUUUAGGAAUGUCUUUUGUUAGUUAAAAGAAAUUUAAAAAGGCUAACAAGAUGGAAAGUGAUAUUUGGGAACCAGACAAACUCAAACCCCGUGACCCGCAGCAGCUCUCCUAUAAUCACAUUAUGAAUCAUAAGCUGAUUUUGUGCGUCUGAAGAACACAUGCUGAGAGUUGAAAUGUAUUAGCACAAUAUUAGAAUGCAAUAAUAGUCAAUGCACGCACAUACUGUAGAUGAUUUACCUCAUUUAAAAUCUGUGCGCUUUAAUGUGUGUGAUUUACAGCUUCACACAAUACAUGCGUUUAAAUUGAAUAGAGUUUUAAUAUAAAAUAGUCCUUUAGUUUUUCUCUUAAAUAAAUAAAUAAUAGUAUAGAAAGUUUAUAAAAUUGAGAGAAAUAUUAAUAUUCUGCAGAAUCUGCUAUUUCUAGGACACUAAUCAAAUGUAAGACUACACAAUUUGUGAUUAAAAUGUUUUUUUUUUUUUUUUUUUCUUUUGAAACGCUUUACAUUUAAUGUCUCAUUUGUUAACAUAAUUUAAUGCAUUUCCUAACA